Pipistrellus kuhlii (Kuhl's pipistrelle) is the source of this 141-nucleotide long non-coding RNA. RefSeq lists it as uncharacterized. The record is from RefSeq and is a predicted model, not a curated record. The transcript is spliced from 3 exons. NCBI's taxonomy places the organism in Eukaryota, Metazoa, Chordata, Mammalia, Chiroptera, Vespertilionidae.
AGGGCAAUGACUCAGCUGUAGCAAUAUCCGUACCGGCAAGCACACUCAUAUAUAACCUGCCUGUUAAUGUAGCAUGGACGUCACUAAUUGGCAUGAGGCUUCUUUUGUUUGAGCGUGUAUAUAAGGUAAAGAACUGCCCAG